AUUUAAACUAUGAAAACCCGGCAAACAAUGCGAGGGUUGGUGAGGUACCUCUCGCUCUAAUUUCUCUAGUCUAGUCUAGUUGCCUCGCUUCCUCCUAUAGCGAUUCUGUCGAGCUGAGCUUUCACGUCCCUCACCACUGGUCUCCUUCCUACCCCUCGCCUAAGAUCGUCUGACGUCUUGCCUGACACCUUUCGUUGUGUUGGUGCUAUGCGGCUGCUGUCACUGUAGAAGUUAGGUUGUGUGUGUAAAAAAACGUAAACAGUGUUGUUGGAUGAUCAAGUGCGGUAAGUUUUUUAAUAAUUAUGUUCUUAAUUUUACGUAAGUAAGUGCCAUUUUAGCAAAAGUAAGUAGUUGAAGUCCUCCCCAAUGCGUGCUGGCUCCGUCGGAAGCGGUACGUGCAUGUACCGGCAUAGAAAAGUUGUGUGGUGGACAACACAGCACAAGACAGCGGAUAUAAUGCAGAAAUGAUAUGGGCCUGCCGCAGGUGUUUGCCACUGUACGAUGCAUUGUAUAUGAUUCGGUAUGUUCGCCAAUUUUCCUCUAUCCUGGAACGUGGGCUUACGAGGAACCAUUUAAGAACAUCCUCCGGAAGCUGUACGGCGACGAGUCGGGCUCUACCAGCACAACACGCUAGAGACCCAGCCGGCACCGGGUGCCCCGAUUGCGCCGUCAGACGGUGUCGAGCGCGCUCGUUCACAAUGUUCGGGGCAGGAAUUCAACCCUUGGGAUCUGUAUUAUCCGCUGCCCCACAAUAGCUGCAGCAGCAACAGGACCGAACCGACCGCACUACGGAUUGCGGUCAAAUUUUCUGGCAGGAGAAAAACCCCACGAGUGUAUCGAUUUCAUCGACGGCCGCUCGCUGACGGCACCAACAUGCCACUGAAUAAACCCGGAAAGACGACAAGCACUCAUCUCCAGCGGCAAAUUGUUAACAUCAAUCCUCUUCCGCACAUCUACACGACAUCAUGAUAAUAGUAUUAUUGUGUAAAUUGUCAAAAAAAUUACGUUAAUGAGUUAAGAUUAAUCUUAAGUGCGCUUUAAG
Molecule: long non-coding RNA, 1042 nt
Organism: Anopheles arabiensis
Lineage: Eukaryota; Metazoa; Arthropoda; Insecta; Diptera; Culicidae
Exons: 4
Source: RefSeq, a predicted model, not a curated record